AUUCUCGACUGAAAUGCUUCGUUAAGAAGACUUGAGUUUCAUGAAUGGUGCUUGAUAAUACGUCGAUAAAUCUGCGGCAAUAAACCAUUGUGACAAUUAUACGACUGUUACGAGACUAUUGUUCAUAACUAAUCUUCGUUAUAAUAGAUUUCUGAAAGUCUUUGGAAAAUUUGAUAUUUUUAUACUGCUAUUAACGACAAUUACUUACUAUUUAAUUGAUAUAUAUAUGUGCUUUCCUUAUUUAGAUGGUACAAUACAGACUGAAGUAUAGCUAUAGCAUAAUAUAAUACCAACAAUAGCAAAUGAUACUUAUUAAAAAAUACUGAUAAGCACACCGAUUAACAAAAUUUAGCUGACGAGAACAUUGACGACUGCACAAUGUCUUCGCAAUUAAAUUCCACUCCUUUAAGUCGCACGGUUUAAUUCACACCUAACCUUGAUUUGAAUCUCAUUUCAAUGCGGUUCUUAAUGGACUUAAUAGAUUCUAAGUGGAAAAGAGAAUGCACGAUCUCUUUGUUGAAGUAUGAGACAAAGGUAGCGAAAGAAUAGCGAUUGAGAACAAGAAAGUAUGCAGGCGAGGAAGAAAAGGACGUAUGCGAGAAAAAGACAGUGAAAUGAAUAGAGGUUAAAGAACGCGUCGAGGAGAAUCGCGGAACAUCGACGUAGUUCUUGACAGUGGACAUAAACAUACCAGUUCGUAUUCAAUUAAUUAAAAAUAUUAAAAGUUGCACGAUCCAUGGUUAUAUAAAAUUGAAUUAUUUAUCAAUUUUUAACGAGUACUAUAGACGAUGACGUUGAUGUCGUUUCUCAACGACUGCUGAUGGGUCCUCCCAUUUAUAACUACUUGGUUUAUUAGAUUCCGAAGCGCGUUGAAUCGCGAAAGGUUAAAGAAGGAUGCUGCCGCGGUGAGUUGUGUGAGCUCUAACUUGUCCGCGACAUGUUUGGACUGUGACCGUCACUUAAAGCUUAAACAUGUGGUGCACGUGUCUCCCUUACAAAGCACGCCGUGCCACCGUCCCGUGGUACAUUCCACCGACUCGAAUCCCUAAUCUUCCCUC
Molecule: long non-coding RNA, 1058 nt
Organism: Bombus pyrosoma
Lineage: Eukaryota; Metazoa; Arthropoda; Insecta; Hymenoptera; Apidae
Exons: 3
Source: RefSeq, a predicted model, not a curated record